Molecule: ribosomal RNA, 468 nt
Filed under: uncultured bacterium
Lineage: Bacteria
Description: partial 16S ribosomal RNA
Rfam family: Bacterial small subunit ribosomal RNA
Source: RNAcentral
GACGAACGCUGGCGGCGUGCUUAACACAUGCAAGUCGAACGGAAAGGCCCUGCUUUUGUGGGGUGCUCGAGUGGCGAACGGGUGAGUAACACGUGAGUAACCUGCCCUUGACUUUGGGAUAACUUCAGGAAACUGGGGCUAAUACCGGAUAGGAGCUCCUGCUGCACGGUGGGGGUUGGAAAGUUUCGGCGGUUGGGGAUGGACUCGCGGCUUAUCAGCUUGUUGGUGGGGUAGUGGCUUACCAAGGCUUUGACGGGUAGCCGGCCUGAGAGGGUGACCGGCCACAUUGGGCCUGAGGUGCGGCCCAGACUCCUACGGGAGGCAGCAGUGGGGAAUAUUGCACGAUGGGCGGAAGCCUGAUGCAGCAACGCCGCGUGCGGGAUGACGGCCUUCGGGUUGUAAACCGCUAUCGCCUGUGACGAAGCGUGAGUGACGGUAAUGGGUAAAGAAGCACCGGCUAACUACGUG